RNAcentral lists this unclassified non-coding RNA (256 nucleotides) under Hevea brasiliensis (rubber tree). Lineage: Eukaryota; Viridiplantae; Streptophyta; Magnoliopsida; Malpighiales; Euphorbiaceae. The record is from RNAcentral.
GGUUUGUUGAGAAACGAAACUGAUGGAUGAAGUGAAGUGAAAGAACAGGGAAACAGGAGAUAUAGAGAGUAAGAAAACGAAGUUGAAUUUGCAGAGAGAUGCAGUGAAAGUGGAAUGUGUGGGAAAGAAGAAGGAAGAAAUUGAAUGAAAAUCAGAUCAGAUCUGAUCUGAUCUUGAGGUUUGUAAUUGGAAUUAAAAAGGAAGAAUAGAAUUGAAAAAGAAAAAGAUUGAAAUGUGUGAAUGAGAGAAAAUCAAG